UACAGAGGUCUCAACCGUUGUUCGGAUUCAUUGGGCGUAAAGGGUGCGUAGGUGGUCGCGCAAGUCGGAUGUGAAAUCUCAGGGCUCAACCCUGAAACUGCAUUCGAUACUGCGCGGCUAGGGUGCUGGAGAGGAGACUGGAAUUUACGGUGUAGCAGUGAAAUGCGUAGAUAUCGUAAGGAAGACCAGUGGCGAAGGCGAGUCUCUAGACAGUUACCGACACUGAGGCACGAAGGCUAGGGGAGCAAACGGG
Molecule: ribosomal RNA, 253 nt
Filed under: uncultured bacterium
Lineage: Bacteria
Description: partial 16S ribosomal RNA
Rfam family: Bacterial small subunit ribosomal RNA
Source: RNAcentral